UACGUAGGGGGCAAGCGUUGUCCGGAAUUAUUGGGCGUAAAGAGCGCGUAGGCGGUCCGAUAAGUCGGCUGUGAAAGUCAGGGGCUCAACCCUUGAAAGCCGGCCGAUACUGUCGGACUAGAGUCCGGAAGAGGCAAGUGGAAUUCCUGGUGUAGCGGUGAAAUGCGCAGAUAUCAGGAGGAACACCGAUGGCGAAGGCAGAUCUCUGGGCCGUAACUGACGCUGAGGAGCGAAAGCGUGGGGAGCGAACAGG
Molecule: ribosomal RNA, 253 nt
Filed under: uncultured bacterium
Lineage: Bacteria
Description: partial 16S ribosomal RNA
Rfam family: Bacterial small subunit ribosomal RNA
Source: RNAcentral